RNAcentral lists this ribosomal RNA (406 nucleotides) under uncultured bacterium. RNAcentral describes it as "partial 16S ribosomal RNA". It matches the Rfam family "Bacterial small subunit ribosomal RNA", at positions 29 to 526 of the family's 1533-position model. The record is from RNAcentral.
AUUGAACUCUGGCGGCAGGCCUAACACAUGCAAGUCGAGCGAGCGGCGGACGGGUGAGUAAUGUAUGGGGAUCUGCCCGAUAGAGGGGGAUCACUACUGGCAACGGUGGCUAAUACCGCAUACUAUCGGAUGAACCCAUAUUGGAUUAGCUAGUAGGUGGGGUAAAGGCUCACCUAGGCGACGAUCUCUAGCUGGUCUGAGAGGAGGACCAGCCACAAUGGGAAUGAGAAAAGGCCCAGACUCCUACGGGAGGGAGCAGUGGGGAAUAAUGCACAAUGGGCGCAAGCCUGAUGCAGCCAUGCCGGGGGUAUGAAGAAGGCCUUAGGGUUGUAAAGUACUGUCAGCGGGGAGGAGGUAACCGCAGAAGAAACAACGGCUAACUCCGGGCCAGCAGCCGCGGUAAUAC